RNAcentral lists this ribosomal RNA (497 nucleotides) under uncultured bacterium. RNAcentral's name for it is "partial 16S ribosomal RNA". It matches the Rfam family "Bacterial small subunit ribosomal RNA", at positions 28 to 507 of the family's 1533-position model. The record is from RNAcentral.
GAUGAACGCUGGCGGCGUGCCUAAUACAUGCAAGUCGAGCGAACAGACGAGGAGCUUGCUCCUCUGACGUUAGCGGCGGACGGGUGAGUAACACGUGGAUAACCUACCUAUAAGACUGGGAUAACUUCGGGAAACCGGAGCUAAUACCGGAUAAUAUAUUGAACCGCAGGGUUCAAUAGUGAAAGACGGUUUUGCUGUCACUUAUAGAUGGAUCCGCGCCGCAUUAGCUAGUUGGUAAGGUAACGGCUUACCAAGGCAACGAUGCGUAGCCGACCUGAGAGGGUGAUCGGCCACCCUGGAACUGAGACACGGUCCAGACUCCUACGGGAGGCAGCAGUAGGGAAUCUUCCGCAAUGGGCGAAAGCUUGACGGAGCAACGCCGCGUGAGUGAUGAAGGUCUUCGGAUCGUAAAGCUCUGUUAUUAGGGAAGAACAAAUGUGUAAGUAAAUAUGCACGUCUUGACGGUACCUAAUCAGAAAGCAACGGCUAACUACGUG